Rattus norvegicus (Norway rat) is the source of this 1115-nucleotide long non-coding RNA. Lineage: Eukaryota; Metazoa; Chordata; Mammalia; Rodentia; Muridae. The record is from Ensembl.
CUGGAACUGUCAGAAGACUAGGAGCAAUUCAUCGCCCAUUUGGGCCAAACUUUUCUAUGACGGGGAGUGAGGGAAGAAAGAUAUUCUUCUGCGAAAGAUAAAAUCAAGGAAUAUUUCAUCAUUUAUAUUUAGUUUUUAAACAAUGAUUUCCCCAAUGAGGACCUCACUUCCUAAGCUCUGGUGUCUGCUCUUUUGCCUGGGUCACAUUUGGGAUGGAAUAACUGGAGAUUCCCAGAAAGCCCUUCCCUGAAUGCUGUUCCCUUCAGCUUUCCCACAGUCCUUGGUUUUGAGGUCAAGACAAGACACUCUUGAUUGUGGCGAUGGGGCUGUACUCCUGCCAAGAGCUCUGCCUCAAUGAGACUUGAGAAAUACUGGACAGAUGACUUCUCCUCAUCACUACUGACUCCAAAGGUAGACACAGAGCACUACAGACGAAGCAUGGCCCCCAUCUUUCAAAAUAAAGAAAGGAUCUGAGAGAAAAGAUCAAGAAGAAUCUCCAUCCAUACCGCAAGAACACAAGUGUAGGCUUUAAAAUGCCCAGUGAGACAUCUAAAACACACAUACAUUGACAAGAAGUAUUCCUGCAAAUGCCUGCAUCUGAAGGAGACACAUGUCUAAUAUGGUGACCGAUAUGAAGAGGCAGGGGCAUUGCCAUUUUUCAAGACCAUCUUCACUGUAUCCACAGGGACAACUGCUUCAGGAGGAAACAUUAGAAUGUGCCUGUGUAACUUCCCCUGUUUCAGGGCUGUGAAGAUGAGCAAUGUCAUUACCAUAGCCCCGUGCAGGGUCCUGAACAGCAGCAGUGUGCCCUUCAGUAUCUUAGGGUUAAUACUGAAAAGCAGUUCCACAAGGUCUAAGACUGAAUGGCAGUUAAGUUAUUUCCCACUCAAAGAAAACUAAAUAGCAACAAGUAGUUACAGCAAUGAUUUUUGCCAAUCAGAGAGUGAAGUGAGGUAAUUCCUGUAGAAAAUUGGGCCAAAUCUCUGGGGCAUGGUAACUACUAACCAGAACAAUUAAAAUAUGUGUUGAACACUUUCUUGAUUUCUAAUCUAGCAUAUACACGAACAAGCCUUCUUUCAAACAUCUCUAGCCUGUCAUUUGGUGGCCAGUGGGAA